This 497-nucleotide ribosomal RNA is filed under the name uncultured bacterium. RNAcentral describes it as "partial 16S ribosomal RNA". It matches the Rfam family "Bacterial small subunit ribosomal RNA", at positions 28 to 507 of the family's 1533-position model. The record is from RNAcentral.
GAUGAACGCUGGCGGCGUGCCUAAUACAUGCAAGUCGAGCGAACGGACGAGAAGCUUGCUUCUCUGAUGUUAGCGGCGGACGGGUGAGUAACACGUGGAUAACCUACCUAUAAGACUGGGAUAACUUCGGGAAACCGGAGCUAAUACCGGAUAAUAUUUUGAACCGCAUGGUUCAAAAGUGAAAGACGGUCUUGCUGUCACUUAUAGAUGGAUCCGCGCUGCAUUAGCUAGUUGGUAAGGUAACGGCUUACCAAGGCAACGAUGCAUAGCCGACCUGAGAGGGUGAUCCGCCACACUGGGACUGAGACACGGUCCCGACUCCUAAGGGAGGCAGCAGUGGGGAAUUUUGCGCAAUGGGCGAAAGCCUGACCGAGCAAAGCCGCGUGAGUGAAGAAGGGCUUCGGGUUGGAAAACUCUUUUGUUUGGGAAGAACAUAUGUGUAAGUAACUGUGCACAUCUUGACGGUACCGAAUCAGAAAGCCACGGCUAACUACGUG